GGCGAACGCUGGCGGCGUGCUUAACACAUGCAAGUCGAACGGAAAGGCCUGCUUUCCCUUGUGGAUUGCGGGUACUCGAGUGGCGAACGGGUGAGUAACACGUGAGUGAUCUGCCCCCAACUUGGGUAUAAGCCUGGGAAACUGGGUCUAAUUCCCGAUAGGACUGCAGGGUGGUGCCUGUGGUGGAAAACGAUUUUCUAGUGGUUGGGGAUGAGCUCGCGGCCUAUCAGCUUGUUGGUGGGGUAAUGGCCUACCAAGGCGGCGACGGGUAGCCGGCCUGAGAGGGUGGACGGCCACAGUGGGACUGAGAUACGGCCCAGACUCCUACGGGAGGCAGCAGUGGGGAAUAUUGCACAAUGGGCGGAAGCCUGAUGCAGCGACGCCGCGUGGGGGAUGACGGCCUUCGGGUUGUAAACUCCUUUCGACCGCGAGGAAGCCACCUGGUUGGAAGGGUGGUGACGGUAGUGGUAGAAGAAGCACCGGCUAACUACGUG
Molecule: ribosomal RNA, 494 nt
Filed under: uncultured bacterium
Lineage: Bacteria
Description: partial 16S ribosomal RNA
Rfam family: Bacterial small subunit ribosomal RNA
Source: RNAcentral